AAGAGUUGGCGCGAGAGUUGCGGAUGGGUCAAAUCAACCCAUUCGAGGAAAGUCCGGACUCCCGAAAGACCAGACUUGCUGGGUAACGCCCAGUGCGCGCGAGCGUGAGGAUAGUGCCACAGAAAAAUACCGCCUCUAAUUUUAGAGGUAAGGGUGCAAAGGUUUUGCGGUAAGAGCGCACCAGCAGUAUCGUGAGGUACUGGCUCGGUAAACCCCGGUUGGGAGCAAGGUCGAAGGGGCAAAGGUUGGUCUUUUCCCUGUCCCGUUUUAGGUGUACCGCAUGAGGCGUUUGGUAACAAACGUCCUAGAUAGAUAACUCUCCACUGAACAGAAUCCGGCUUAUGUCCAACUCUUUUCU
Non-coding RNA from Cyanothece sp., 358 nucleotides. NCBI's taxonomy places the organism in Bacteria, Bacillati, Cyanobacteriota, Cyanophyceae, Gomontiellales, Cyanothecaceae. The record is from Rfam.